CUAAAUGAGGUUUAAGGUAUUAUUUCAUAUUUUAGACCUUGGGAGCUCAGUUUGAGAUGAUUUUUUGUAGGUUUUUCAAGAAAUUCGUCGGGGUAAGUGAUUCUAAUUCAGAUUUGGUUAGCAUACAUAAAUAUAUCAUUAUUUCCAUCAUUUAGUUAAUAUUUUGAGAAGGAAUUGGGGGUUUUGGCCAAAAGAUUUAAAAUAUAAAAUUUUGAGUUUUGAAUACCGAUUUGGAGUCGGACUUGAGUGAAACUAGUAUGGUUGGACUCGUAAUUGAAUGAGUUAUCAGAAUUUGUUAGUUCUGUUGGGUUUCGAUGGCGGGCCCCGGGUGUGAUUUUUGUCCAGAUUUGGGAUUUGAUUUAGGAUUUGAUCUUUAUCAUUUUUAAUUACUUCCUUCAGCUUUUUCUGAUGUAUUUGAGUCAGUUUUGGCUAGGUUUGAGUUGUUCAGAGGUUGCUAUGCGUGUGAUGGCAUUCUUGGAGCAUUGCUUGUCCUGCUCGGUGUCGGAAUUGGCUUGUUUAAGAUAAGUAACUCUUCUACACUUAAUGUUUAGGAUAUGAAACACUGAAUUAUGUGUUAUGUGAUUGGUGUUGAGGUGACGCACAUGCUAGGUGAUGGGUAUGUGAGCGUUCACCCUGUGAGUAUUGACUGCUAUUUCCAAGGCACUGUUUAUUUGCCCACUUUGUUGAUAUUUGUGUUUCUCACCAUGUGAUAAAGUAGUUGAGAUGUACAUCAUGCCAGAUAUCAUGUUUAGGCUUUAUGUUGAUAUUGUUGGGACCCCUAGAAGUCGUUUCUUGCUAUCAUCUCAUUGAAUUCAUUUAUAUUUCGUACUCAGUCACAUUGAUGCAUUCAUAUCAUAUCUCAGUCUCAGUCGUUACUUAUUGAUACAUCGUAUCACUAUUCCAAGUCAAGUUUUAUGACAUUCUAAGCUCGUGGGUAAGACUUGAGAGUGAUGACUGAGUGAGACCGAGAACCUGAUUAUGAGUAGUAGUUAUGGGAUCGGGCCGCAUGCUACAACGUAUUUUAUUGAUUUAUGCCAUGAUUGGAUUGUUAGAGCUUGGGCUGACGGAGCGCCUCCGGAGCCUACAUACCCCAGCGAGUGCGAAUGAUAUUAUUGAAGGAUGGAUUUCUCGAGACAUGAAUUUGUUCGAAGUAUUUGAUAUCUGGAGAUCGAUUUCUCCACAGGGUUGGAUUGCCCCUUUUCCUCGGUAUUGGGUGAUUUGUAGUCAGUGUUGUAUAUGUGUCACACCCAAACCGAUGGGCCACGAUGGGCACCUAGGUACCUUACUCAACCAAGUAGCAACUUAACGUAUCUUUUCAUGUCAUACUAUCUGUCAUAGAUAACUGAGCCGGAAGGCUACCGUGAGAUAAGUAGAAUACAAUAUGUGAUACCAACUUAUACAUAAGACAUACGGGCCUAUAAGACCAAAAUAACCACUCGUAUACUGAACAUAGGCCGACAAGGCCAUACAAUCUUUUACGUACAUGACAUCUAUCUACAAGCCUUUAAGAAUACAUAAUUUUCAUAAAGGUCAGGACAGAGUCCCGCCAUACCAAACAAUACACGUCUAAAUUAUACUAACCAAACAAGCAACUCCGAAGCAAAUGGAGCGCACCAACAUCUUCCAUUAAGCUAAUAGCCUACUUGGAGGACUCUCGACCUGUCCAGCGAGACCUACGGGCAUGAAACGCAGUCUCCCCAGGCAAAAGGGGCGUCAGUACAAAUAAUAGACCGAGUAUAUAAGAAAUAAAAAUCAGUAAAUAUAGAUGUGAGAGAAACAUGGAGUAAAAGACUCGACAUGUAAGUCUGAGUAACUCUGUAAAUCAUAAAAUACUCAUAGUUUCAUGCAUAUGCAUAUGAAUGCCAUGUCGUGCAUAGCUACAUGUGUUCAUAGCAUCAUCAAGCCUCUAGGGGCAUCCCAUCAUAUCAUCUCGGCCACUGUGGGCAAAAUCAUCAAUAUAUACUAUUU
This 1968-nucleotide long non-coding RNA is filed under the name Nicotiana benthamiana. RNAcentral's name for it is "long non-coding RNA (NBEN_LNC011954)". The record is from RNAcentral. Lineage: Eukaryota; Viridiplantae; Streptophyta; Magnoliopsida; Solanales; Solanaceae.